ACGUUAGCGGCGGACGGGUGAGUAACACGUGGGUAACCUACCUAUAAGACUGGGAUAACUUCGGGAAACCGGAGCUAAUACCGGAUAAUAUUUAGAACCGCAUGGUUCGAUAGUGAAAGAUGGUUUUGCUAUCACUUAUAGAUGGACCCGCGCCGUAUUAGCUAGUUGGUAAGGUAACGGCUUACCAAGGCGACGAUACGUAGCCGACCUGAGAGGGUGAUCGGCCACACUGGAACUGAGACACGGUCCAGACUCCUACGGGAGGCAGCAGUC
This 273-nucleotide ribosomal RNA is filed under the name uncultured Staphylococcus sp. RNAcentral's name for it is "partial 16S ribosomal RNA". It matches the Rfam family "Bacterial small subunit ribosomal RNA", at positions 89 to 355 of the family's 1533-position model. The record is from RNAcentral. Lineage: Bacteria; Bacillati; Bacillota; Bacilli; Caryophanales; Staphylococcaceae.